GGGAGGACAGGUGGUGCAUGGUUGUCGUCAGCUCGUGUCGUGAGAUGUUGGGUUAAGUCCCGCAACGAGCGCAACCCCUACGUUUAGUUGCUAACGCGUGAAGGCGAGCACUCUAGACGAACUGCCGUUGACAAAACGGAGGAAGGUGGGGGAUGACGUCAAAUCAUCAUGCCCCUUAUGUUCUGGGCUACACACGUGCUACAAUGGCCGGUACAGACGGACGCAAAGCCGCGAGGUGGAGCAAAUCCUAAAAAGCCGGUCUCAGUUCGGAUUGCAGGCUGCAAUUCGCCUGCAUGAAGUCGGAAUCGCUAGUAAUCGCAGGUCAGCAUACUGCGGUGAAUACGUUCCCGGGCCUU
Molecule: ribosomal RNA, 356 nt
Filed under: uncultured Pelotomaculum sp.
Lineage: Bacteria; Bacillati; Bacillota; Clostridia; Eubacteriales; Desulfotomaculaceae
Description: bacterial SSU rRNA
Rfam family: Bacterial small subunit ribosomal RNA
Source: RNAcentral